AGCGUCGCCUACCGCCUCCUCCUCAUCCCAUGGGCGCUGCCAACCGCCGCCUCCUCUCACGGCCGCGGUAGGCAUCUCGUUCUCCUCCUCUCCUUCACUGUGAGGGGCUGAAAUUGGUGUUUUUUUUAUAAUUUUGUGUUCAAAUCGGAUAUGAAUAGAUGAAUUAGGAAAAUAUGUGUUGAAAUUGAAUGAAUAGAUGUUGAAUUGAACGAUUUGUGUUGAAAUUGUGUCGAAUUUGGGUUGAUAUUGGGUCAAUUUUGGUUUAAGAUAUGAGAUGUGAAUGAAAUAGGGACUGUGAUUUAGAGGCUCUUGCUGGAAACAAUUGCAAUUUUUGGGUCCCUACUUAUGAGGCCUGACCCCUAUUUGCAAAUUUAGAGGCCCUGUUUGAGGGCCGUUGCUCGACAUUCUCUUACGUAGGCUC
RNAcentral lists this long non-coding RNA (421 nucleotides) under Brachypodium distachyon (stiff brome). RNAcentral's name for it is "long non-coding RNA (BDIS_LNC006014)". The record is from RNAcentral. Lineage: Eukaryota; Viridiplantae; Streptophyta; Magnoliopsida; Poales; Poaceae.